GGGCCUAGCCAGUCUCUUUUUGAUAUUCUUACUCUCACUGUUUAUAUAAACCUACCAUUAAAAUGACUGACUGGUCAUUUCUUUGUAAAUGGGUAAACUUACAAAAUCUGCAGGGGAUCAAAUAAUUAUUUCCUCCACUGUAUAUAUAUAUAUAUGGAAAGAAUGUGCAAAUAAAGUCACCAUUGUACUACAAACACCAUGAAAGACAUGUGCACCAGGCAGAGGGUCUCUUUGCUCUCGAUCCUGGGGAGCACAGUGGCAGCCUCUCCUGGGGGCAGGGAGGGGCCAGAGGAGAUGGCGGGGACUUUAGGUGGAAACUAAAGCAUGCAACAGCCACAUGUGUGUGUGUCUCCUGUGUGUGUCCAGUUGAAGUCCUCCCAGAUGUGCAGGGGCAGCUGCAGGCCUUCAGAGGGGGGACAGCUGUGCUCUGCUGCCUGCUGCUGGUCCUGGUCCUGAUCCGCUUCACCAGACCCACCGUCAGAGCCCUGCAGAACAGACUAUCUGAAAGGAGGCAGAACCGCUGGAUCGGACCUACGCAGAGUCACAGUGUGGCCUAUCGAGGAAAGACUGCAGUUAAAAUCAAUGAGGGAGAGAAGAGACUUUCCUACCCUGCUCUGGAGCGCCUGGCAGUCAGUGACAGCAGAGAGCCCUCAUCAAACAGGAACAGUGACUACAACUUCUGAUAUCAUUAUCACCACCAUCACCAUCACCACCAUCAUCAUCAUCAUCAUCAUCAUCAUCAUCAUCAUCAUCAUCAUCAUCCUUUGCAUGCCCAUACAUGUGGGCUAAACAUAUGUUUAUAUAUUACCAUUACUGUCUGGACUGUAUCUAAACUUCAUUUAGUUACCCUUGUUACAAAUUAAUCUGAAAAUAACCACUUGAAGUUAUGUCCACCUGUCAGAGGUUAUAUUAAGAUGUGAAAUGUUCACAGAACCAUGCAACAUUUUGGAAAGCCACUUAGCAGUUAGCCUUUGAGCUCAAGCUAAAGGCGUCAGGGGCCGCAGAACAGUUUUAACCAGGUGACUUGAAUGGUGUUUAGCUUUUUCGCUUACAAAAUACAACAUCAGCUUGCUCUUUAGUUUUUAGAAGGUGUAUUUGAAAAAAAAGAUUUGCAGUCCUUGUGGUAAUAUUGACUGAACGUGUUCCGUACCUGAUGGAACAGUAAAAAAAGAGAAUCUCAGUGUUCCCAAAAUGUUGGAGUAUUCCUUUAAUUAGGAAAACCAUGAAAUAAAAACUAUGAUAUUGAUUCAAUGUCAUAUGAGUGACUUACACUGUAACUCAAA
Long non-coding RNA from Notothenia coriiceps (black rockcod), 1283 nucleotides. RefSeq lists it as uncharacterized. The record is from RefSeq and is a predicted model, not a curated record. Lineage: Eukaryota; Metazoa; Chordata; Actinopteri; Perciformes; Nototheniidae. The transcript has 4 exons.